GCAUCGGGAAGAAAGCUUGCUUUCUUUGCCGGCGACCGGCGCACGGGUGAGUAACACGUAUCCAACCUGCCCUUUACUCGGGGAUAGCCUUUCGAAAGAAAGAUUAAUACCCGAUAGCAUAAUGAUUCCGCAUGGUUUCAUUAUUAAAGGAUUCCGGUAAAGGAUGGGGAUGCGUUCCAUUAGGUUGUUGGUGGGGUAACGGCCCACCAAGCCUUCGAUGGAUAGGGGUUCUGAGAGGAAGGUCCCCCACAUUGGAACUGAGACACGGUCCAAACUCCUACGGGAGGCAGCAGUGAGGAAUAUUGGUCAAUGGGCGCUAGCCUGAACCAGCCAAGUAGCGUGAAGGAUGAAGGCUCUAUGGGUCGUAAACUUCUUUUAUAUAAGAAUAAAGUGCAGUAUGUAUACUGUUUUGUAUGUAUUAUAUGAAUAAGGAUCGGCUAACUCCGUGCCAGCAGCCGCGGUAAUACGGAGGAUCCGAGCGUUAUCCGGAUUUAUUGGGUUUAAAGGGAGCGUAGGUGGACUGGUAAGUCAGUUGUGAAAGUUUGCGGC
This 549-nucleotide ribosomal RNA is filed under the name uncultured Bacteroidales bacterium. RNAcentral describes it as "bacterial SSU rRNA". It matches the Rfam family "Bacterial small subunit ribosomal RNA", at positions 69 to 608 of the family's 1533-position model. Lineage: Bacteria; Pseudomonadati; Bacteroidota; Bacteroidia; Bacteroidales. The record is from RNAcentral.